AAUAUUUGUUAUAUAGGACUCAUUACGGUGUCUUAAAAUAAUACUUGAGAAUGCUUUGAUUCAAGAGGAUCUAUUCGACAUUCAACUUGAGGGUGGGAGAUAGAAAGGUAAAAGAUAAGAGUGUGUAAGAAUAUCAGAGGGUAAAAAUCAAGUGAGUAAAAUAUGAGAGAAUCAGCAAAGAAUCUUUAUUUGUGAUUAACCACUUCUGCAGGGAACUUUUUUCUAAAGAUGUCAAGCGAACACCAAAGCCCCACUAAUAAAAACUCUUUCUGA
RNAcentral lists this long non-coding RNA (273 nucleotides) under Carica papaya (papaya). RNAcentral's name for it is "long non-coding RNA (CPAP_LNC002338)". Lineage: Eukaryota; Viridiplantae; Streptophyta; Magnoliopsida; Brassicales; Caricaceae. The record is from RNAcentral.